AGCAGCCACUCAUUAAAAGAGUGCGUAAUAGCUCACUGGUCGAGUGACUCUGCGCCGAAAAUUUAACGGGGCUAAACUAUACACCGAAGCUUGGGAUACAUCUAAUGUAUGGUAGGAGAGCGUUCUGUAUGGGGAGAAGUCGUAGCGAAAGCGGCGGUGGACUAUACAGAAGUGAGAAUGCCGGAAUAAGUAGCGAGAAUUAAGUGAGAAUCUUAAUGGCCGAAAGUCUAAGGUUUUUGGAGGAAGGUUCGUCCGCUCCAAGUAAGUCGGGAGCUAAGGUCAGGCCGAAAGGCGUAGCCGAUGCACAUACGGUUGAUAUUCCGUAACCAUCUGUAAUUUAAGCAAAGGGACACUUCAAAAGGGUGUGACCCGGGCGUUGGUUGACCCGGGCGUAAGGGACCGAAAUUAGAGUAGGGAAGCACACUUAGCUGAAGGCGAGAAAAGCUUUGCGUAUAGAAGCAGAUGCCCGUACCGCAAACCGACACAGGUGGACAGGAAGAGAAUUCUAAGGCCAGCGGGAGAAGGGUAGUUAAGGAACUCGGCAAAUUGACUCCGUAACUUCGGAAUAAGGAGUGCUCGAAAGAGCCGCAGAGAAUAGGCCCAGGCGACUGUUUAGCAAAAACACAGGUCUCUGCCAAAUCGAAAGAUGAAGUAUAGGGGCUGACACCUGCCCGGUGCCGGAAGGUUAAGAGGAGGAGUGAGAGCUCCGAAUUGAAGCCCCGGUAAACGGCGGCCGUAACUAUAACGGUCCUAAGGUAGCGAAAUUCCUUGUCGGGUAAGUUCCGACCCGCACGAAUGGUGUAACGAUCUGGGCACUGUCUCAACUACCCACCCGGCGAAAUUGUAGUACCGGUGAAGAUGCCGGUUACCCGCGGCAAGACGGAAAGACCCCAUGGAGCUUUACUGUAGCCUGAUAUUGGGUUUCGGAAAUCUAUGUACAGGAUAGGCGGGAGACUGGGAAACAUGAGCGUCAGCUUGUGUGGAGUCGAUGUUGGGAUACCGCCCUUAGGUUUCUGGAAUUCUAACCUGCGGCCGUGAAUCCGGUCGGGGGACAUUGUCAGGUGGGCAGUUUGACUGGGGCGGUCGCCUCCGAAAAGGUAACGGAGGCGCUCAAAGGUUAGCUCAGCACGGACGGAAACCGUGCCUCUGAGUGUAAACGCAAAAGCUAGCCUAACUGCGAGGGUGACGGCCCGAGCAGUAACGAAAGUUGGAGUUAGUGAUCCGGCGGUAUGUGAAUGGAAAUGCCGUCGCUCAACGGAUAAAAGCUACCCUGGGGAUAACAGGCUGAUCUCCCCCAAGAGU
This 1302-nucleotide ribosomal RNA is filed under the name human gut metagenome. RNAcentral describes it as "bacterial LSU rRNA". It matches the Rfam family "Bacterial large subunit ribosomal RNA", at positions 1111 to 2499 of the family's 2925-position model. The record is from RNAcentral.